CCACAAUUGUCACAGUUUCCUUCACUUUUGAAUGCAUCAUGCCAGUAAGAGACGACCUACUCCCUGUCCUCCUAAAGGCAGAGGGAGAUCGUGCCAGACCAAGCACGGAAGGCCUUUCUCACUCAAGCGAGGGAGGUCCAACAGGUCUCCUGUUUGGAGAAAAGACUCUGGGUCCCCAUUGAGCCUUCUGAAAACAGUGCAUGCUUCACUGUGAGCUCCUGAGAUCGUUAGAUGAGGACGCUGUGGAGUAAGCUCUUGAGAGUGUGCCUAUCCCAAAUGUCACAUCUGGAGGCCUGCUGUUUGAAACCAAGCUAUUUUUAGAGUCAUCACAGUUUUCCAACCCAAACUACUCUCAAGCCACUGGCUGGGCUGUCUGCUCCCUGCAUUGUUUUUCCCUUUCAGAAAGGGUAGUAGGAAAGGCCUGUUCCUGAGGAAAUGUGUUACUAUAAAAACACCUACAAACACCUAACAGUCCAGUUACGCUUUCCUCUGGUGCCACGUUUUUUUUCCCCUUCUCUUCCAUGACUGCUGAGUAUGUCUGUGUUACCACGAAUGAAGUCGUUUAACUCAGAACUCUACAAAGCUGUGUGUUUUCUAUAGACCUGACAUUACUUGAGGUUAGCCCCAGGCUGCUGUUAUAUGAGGUCAAACCCUCCCUUGCUGAACAAAGCUUUUAAUUUCUUCUUAAGCACACCCAAUAAGACUGGCUUCCAAGCUCGUCUCCAUAAAUAUUUGUCAUCCAGGAAUAUAAACCACCCCCCAUUUCUUAUUUAAUUACCCACGUACUUCAACGGGAG
Long non-coding RNA from Gallus gallus (chicken), 797 nucleotides. The record is from Ensembl. NCBI's taxonomy places the organism in Eukaryota, Metazoa, Chordata, Aves, Galliformes, Phasianidae.